This 1461-nucleotide ribosomal RNA is filed under the name Triticum aestivum (bread wheat). Its description in RNAcentral is "partial small subunit ribosomal RNA". Lineage: Eukaryota; Viridiplantae; Streptophyta; Magnoliopsida; Poales; Poaceae. The record is from RNAcentral.
AUGGAGCUACAUAAUAAUGAUUCGCCUUGCCAACAAUCAGAGGAGGAAGACAGACUCAGUGCACUGACUGAUGAUAUUUUGCUGUAUAUCUUGAUGAGAUCUGGCCUAAUUACAGCUGCAAGGACAAGUGUACUCUCUACACGUUGGAGAAAUCUGCCUUGGUUGCUGCCUGAGCUCAACAUUGAUGUCAAGGAUUUCCUAUCUAUUCCACACCCAGAUCCAAUUGAGGCAAAUGACAUGCAUGACGCGAUGGUGUCCCUUACCAAUGCAGCCAGGAGCUUCUUUGGUAAACCUCGAAGAGAGUCUACCGUCGCAAACCUGCGGCUUAAGCUCUGCUCGAUCAGUGCGUUCUCAAGCGACAUUGGCCCACUAGUGUGCGAUGCUAUCGACAGUGGCUUGCUGAAAGAUUUGGAUCUUACGAUCUUCAAUGAGACGGAACCGCGCGACUGUAAUGAUCCUCAUAUGCUACGGCUUGCUGACGACACGGAUCGUUUCUUCAAUGCCUACCCUAGUGUGUUCCAUUGCCUCACAAGGCUUUCUCUCCACAAUGUGUGCUUUUACAAGUUGGACAUGCACCAUCUCCUGUUUGACCGUUGCACACAAUUGAUGUAUCUAAGACUCUUUCAUUGUGACGCUGGGCGUGGCUUUCUGUCGAAGAUAGAUGCACCAAACUCAAAACUCCGUGUUCUGGACCUCGACACGUGUUGCUUUGGGAGGCUUGAGCUGGUCUGCCUUCCGAAACUGGAGAAGCUUCAUUGGGAUACUUGGGAAUCUGAAGAUGCACCAUUGUCUUUUGGUUCUGUUCCCUCUCUUGGAGAAUUACACCUUGCAAAUGGGCCCGAACUUGGUCAGAAUGUGAUCAAGUUAAGUGAACUUCUACGUGGCACCACGGGCAUACAUACUCUAACACUGGAUUUUAUGGGAGAAAAUCUUUGGAUGCAACCUGAAAUGAAGCAACUCAGCUCUGCAUUCAGCAAGCUAAGGAUGCUGUCCAUACUUGGUAUCUUUAUUGAAUUCGACCUUAUAUGGACGACAGCCCUUCUUGAGGCAGCCCCCUCUGUUGAAAUAUUACAAAUUCAGGUAUAUGACCAUUUAUGCGAUAUUGGUGGCCAGGUCAGACUGCGGCGCUUCCCUGAAAGAAGGAGCCCUCAGUGGGAGAUGGACUGCCGCGGCUCCAAGAACCUUCUACUAAGAGAGCUCCAAAUUAUUUGUUUUAAGCCGCUAAAGCAGCAGCUGGCAUUCACAAGGGCUAUGCUGGAGCGAGCACCCAAUUUGCAGAAAAUAAUUUUGAGAGAUGAGUCAUGUGAGGCAUGUGAUGACCUUGGGCAGCCGCCGCCUUGUUCUUCUGCAGAGCGUCUUUUCCCAGAGAGCAAGAAUGAGCAGGAAAGGGUGGUCAGGCGAAUUACAGAUGGUGUGAUGUUCUCAGGCCAAGUAAUUUUUGACGAUCGUAAGAAGCUGUAG